GCUGCGAUGGCCGAGUGGUUAAGGCGUUGGACUCGAAAUCCAAAGGGAUGUUCCUGCGCAGGUUCGAAACCUGUUCGCAGCG
Molecule: non-coding RNA, 82 nt
Organism: Ciona savignyi (Pacific transparent sea squirt)
Lineage: Eukaryota; Metazoa; Chordata; Ascidiacea; Phlebobranchia; Cionidae
Source: Rfam